GAUGAACGCUGGCGGCGUGCCUAAUACAUGCAAGUCGAGCGAACAGACGAGGAGCUUGCUCCUCUGACGUUAGCGGCGGACGGGUGAGUAACACGUGGAUAACCUACCUAUAAGACUGGGAUAACUUCGGGAAACCGGAGCUAAUACCGGAUAAUAUAUUGAACCGCAUGGUUCAAUAGUGAAAGACGGUUUUGCUGUCACUUAUAGAUGGAUCCGCGCCGCAUUAGCUAGUUGGUAAGGUAACGGCUUACCAAGGCAACGAUGCGUAGCCGACCUGAGAGGGUGAUCGGCGACACUGGAACUGAGACACGGUCCAGACUCCUACGGGAGGCAGCAGUAGGGAAUCUUCCGCAAAGGGCGAAAGCCUGACGGAGCAACGCCGCGUGAGUGAUGAAGGUCUUCGGAUCGUAAAACUCUGUUAUUAGGGAAGAACAAAUGUGUAAGUAACUAUGCACGUCUUGACGGUACCUAAUCAGAAAGCCACGGCUAACUACGUG
RNAcentral lists this ribosomal RNA (497 nucleotides) under uncultured bacterium. RNAcentral's name for it is "partial 16S ribosomal RNA". It matches the Rfam family "Bacterial small subunit ribosomal RNA", at positions 28 to 507 of the family's 1533-position model. The record is from RNAcentral.